RNAcentral lists this ribosomal RNA (253 nucleotides) under uncultured bacterium. RNAcentral's name for it is "partial 16S ribosomal RNA". It matches the Rfam family "Bacterial small subunit ribosomal RNA", at positions 524 to 776 of the family's 1533-position model. The record is from RNAcentral.
UACGUAGGGGGCAAGCGUUGUCCGGAAUCAUUGGGCGUAAAGCGCGCGUAGGCGGCCCGGCAAGUCCGCUGUAAAAGCCCAGGGCUCAACCCUGGAAAGCCGGUGGAUACUGUCGGGCUAGAGUCCGGAAGAGGCGAGUGGAAUUCCUGGUGUAGCGGUGGAAUGCGCAGAUAUCAGGAGGAACACCGAUGGCGAAGGCAGCUCGCUGGGACGGUACUGACGCUGAGGCGCGAAAGCGUGGGGAGCGAACAGG